Small nuclear RNA from Meriones unguiculatus (Mongolian gerbil), 106 nucleotides. Lineage: Eukaryota; Metazoa; Chordata; Mammalia; Rodentia; Muridae. The record is from Ensembl.
GUGCUCACUUCAGCAGCACAUAUAUUAAAAUGGAAUGAUACAGAGAACAUUAUCAUGGUCCCUGCAGAAGGAUGACAUGAAAAUUCGUGAAGCAUUCCAUAUUUUU